RNAcentral lists this long non-coding RNA (2696 nucleotides) under Gossypium barbadense (sea-island cotton). RNAcentral's name for it is "long non-coding RNA (GBAR_LNC017127)". The record is from RNAcentral. Lineage: Eukaryota; Viridiplantae; Streptophyta; Magnoliopsida; Malvales; Malvaceae.
ACCAUAUAAUUAUUAAUAAAUUAAUCCCACUAGUUGUAAAAUGAAUUACCAAUGGUAAAAAUAUUAUACAAGUCAUUGUCUUAUAUCUUAAAUUGCAUUACAAUCCUUCUAUUUGAAAAAUAAUCAAAAUGGUCAUUGCACAUUACAAAAAAUAAGCAAGAUAACCCCUUAAAAGAAAAAAAAAACUAGAUUAAGUUGGCAUAGCUUAAAUGCCCAAAAGUUCAUAGCCUCGACUCUGAAAAGAAAAAUGUCAACAAAGAGUUACUGAUUUUUAACUAUUAACUAGUGUAUGUUUUGUAUAAUCCAACAUCAAUUCAUCCAAGCUCCCCAUUUUCGCUUUUUUACUUCCAUGACUACAAAUAAAUAAAAUGUAUUGACUGCAAUAUGUCUUAAUCUCUAAGUUCAAAAUUUAUUGCACUUCAACCAAAGAGAAAAAUGGGUGCUCUAUAAAAAAAAUUCAGCCAAAGAAGAAAAGAGGAGAAAAAUGGUAUGAUUGAUGCCCUUGAUAAGAUGAAGUUCUUAGAUAAAUUAAAAUAGUAAAAGUAAUGUGGAUUUAUAAACAACAUAACAUCUUCAACAAAAGAAAUAAGAAAAAGCUUCAAUAGAUUCUAUUAAGACUAGUUAGCCCUUAAAUAGAAGUUGACCCCCAUCCAGUUUAAAGUUCCCAACAAGAAAAAGUAGGAUUCACAAAAUUAAUGAUGAACAUCUAAAAGAUCGUAGAUAAAGUUUUUACUUCUAGAAUUUAUAUUAAGCAAGAAGUAUAGGAUUUCAUUUACUUGGCAGCUUGAAGUAUGCAAUUCAAAAGUGGAUCAAAAACAAUUUAAGGAAAAACAUAGAACUAACCAAAGAUCUUAUAUAAGAGGGAAGGUGUUUAGGUUUACUCUCAUACCCCCUGGUAGAAUCCAAUUACAACUCCGAAAUAUGCUAAAGCAACCUGAUAACCUUGUUCAUAAAUGUGUGCCAAAGGAAGAUAUGAUAUAUAUCUGGACAUGGGACAACUAUUUCAAUGAGGCAGAUAAGAAUGAUGAUUGCAAAACUUAAUUUAUUACCAUUUCAAAUAGUAACAAUUGAAGAAGCAUCUAAACUACAACACAUAUGGUAAAUGAUGCAAAAUUCUUUGAUACAAUAGAUGACAUAGAUAAAUGAAGAAAAACACCUACCAUGUAUAAAAUAAAUUAUAAUUACUAACAAUUUCGAGCUCACAAAACAUAAAACAUGUAUCACCUAAAAAUGAUCCUGUUUUCUUAAUUCAAAUAACUUAAUAAUUUAUAAUCAAAUUAAUUUCCAUGAAAAAUACGAAUGGCAUGCUCAUUACCUUGAAAACACCCCCAAUCAGAACCUACAUAAUCAUUUAUAAAGCAUUAGUUAGUAUAGGUAAGGCAAGAUGACAUCUAGACUUGACAGAGGAAUUCUUCAGGAUGCAUAAGUUUUCAUUAGUCAUUACCAAUAUUAUAAAGAAAUGAAAAAAUGUAACCAUAUAGUUAACUAACCAUUAAGGAAGAGAACUAAACAACAUAAGAAUGUGAUGCAUAUAUUUGAUCAGUAACUUUUCCUAUUCAAUUUCAUGACAUAAUAGGCAAUAAAAUCCCCAGAAUUGUGCUAAACAUCAUUUUUAAGCAACUCUUAAACGCAGUCUUAGUCACUAUCUUGCACUAACCAAAUACCCCUAACUACCCUAUAAUUCAUUACAAUAUCCAAUCUUUAUAACAAGACUAACCAUAACAUAAAGCAAAAUUAUAUCUUCAAAGCACACAAUGCAAAGUUAAAAAGAAUAAACAAAAAUCCUUGCACAAAUUACAAACCAUAAGAAUGCAACAUGUCCAGAUGAUAAACUUACAAAAAUUACAGAGCAAAAUUAUAUCUUCAAAGCACACAAUCAAGCUUUUGAAACAAGAAUUGGUGUUUAUACACAAGAGUUGUAGUACGAUUGGACCAAACGUAUUUUCAACGACGCUUUCUCAUCUCAUAACUAUUAACUCUACUAAUCUAAUCGUAUCUUUUCUUCUUAUUAGAGGUUUUUUUAAUCACUUUCGUUCUUUUUGCUUCUUUUGUUAUUUAUUAAUCGAAGAUUCAUUGUUGUUAAUAAAUUGAAGGAUAUGCGAUCUCAACAAAAUAUAAUUUAAGGAAAAAUAAAUAAAAUAAAACCCUAUAAGAAGUAAAAAGGAAAAGGAGAGAUUUUGUUGAGGCAGAAACAAAUUUCAUGGUGGAGCUUAAGAAAAGGGAAGCAAAAGAAAGAAAAGAAUAGUAUUGAUUAUGCUUGUUCAGGUCAAUUUCAUACUUCUAAGUACCCAAAUUAGACCAUCACUUACCAUAAAUAAGGAGGUUCAACUAGAAGGAAGAUGAAGAUGGUGAGUGAAUGCUUGAUUUGUCGUCGAUUAAUAUGCUAAUUUCUAGGGUUCACUUUGGGAAAGAAAGUCGAGGAAGAAUGAAAUGGUUUGAAGUGAAGAGUGAAAACAAUGUAGGUGAGAAGCCAAGAUAUUUUGAUCCAAAAAGGAAAAAAUAUAAUUACGGGUGAUAUUGAAUAGCUAAUUUAGACCCUAAGUCCUUAAAUUGUUAUUACACGCCAUGCCGCAAUAGAGACUUAUUCCAUUCGACAAUUGUUUAUGAUUAGCCCAUUGAAUAAGGACUAAUACAUCCAAGCAAAAAUGCUAACAAAUAAUUGAAAUAAGCGAGGGUACAGUCGGUGCAGGCAUUUA